GACAGAGGAGGCGAGCGUUAUCCGGAGUUAUUGGGCGUAAAGGGGACGUAGGCGGCUGGUCAAGUCUGGGGUUAAAGACCACAGCUUAACUGUGGGGGGGCCUUGGAAACUGACCGGCUGGAGUGGGGCAGGGGUUGCGGGAAUUCCCGGUGUAGCGGUGAAAUGCGUAGAUAUCGGGAAGAACACCUGAGGCGAAAGCGCGCAACUGGGCCCCAACUGCCGCUGAGGUACGAAAGCUAGGGGAGCGAAUGGG
This 253-nucleotide ribosomal RNA is filed under the name uncultured bacterium. RNAcentral describes it as "partial 16S ribosomal RNA". It matches the Rfam family "Bacterial small subunit ribosomal RNA", at positions 524 to 776 of the family's 1533-position model. The record is from RNAcentral.